GGGGAUCUAGCUCAGUGGUGUAAGCAUCUGCCUGGGAAGCAUGAGGUGGUGAGUUUGAUCCCCG
RNAcentral lists this transfer RNA (64 nucleotides) under Cavia porcellus (domestic guinea pig). It matches the Rfam family "tRNA". From Rfam's summary of the family: Transfer RNA (tRNA) molecules are approximately 80 nucleotides in length. Their secondary structure includes four short double-helical elements and three loops (D, anti-codon, and T loops). Further hydrogen bonds mediate the characteristic L-shaped molecular structure. tRNAs have two regions of fundamental functional importance: the anti-codon, which is responsible for specific mRNA codon recognition, and the 3' end, to which the tRNAs corresponding amino acid is attached (by aminoacyl-tRNA synthetases). tRNAs cope with the degeneracy of the genetic code in two manners: having more than one tRNA (with a specific anti-codon) for a particular amino acid; and 'wobble' base-pairing, i.e. permitting non-standard base-pairing at the 3rd anti-codon position. Lineage: Eukaryota; Metazoa; Chordata; Mammalia; Rodentia; Caviidae. The record is from Rfam by way of RNAcentral.